GUGCCCACCUCAGCAGCAUGUAUACUAAAAUUGGAACGAUGCAGAGAACAUUAGCAUAACCCCUGUGCAGGGAUGGCACCCAAAUUCUUGAAGCCUUCAUAUUUUUA
This is a small nuclear RNA of Psammomys obesus (fat sand rat), 107 nucleotides long. The record is from RefSeq and is a predicted model, not a curated record. NCBI's taxonomy places the organism in Eukaryota, Metazoa, Chordata, Mammalia, Rodentia, Muridae.